This is a ribosomal RNA of 1460 nucleotides. It matches the Rfam family "Bacterial small subunit ribosomal RNA".
GGCUCAGGACGAACGCUGGCGGCGUGCUUAACACAUGCAAGUCGAACGGAAAGGCCCUUCGGGGUACUCGAGUGGCGAACGGGUGAGUAACACGUGGGUGAUCUGCCCUGCACUUUGGGAUAAGCCUGGGAAACUGGGUCUAAUACCGGAUAGGACCACGCGCUUCAUGGUGUGUGGUGGAAAGCUUUUGCGGUGUGGGAUGGGCCCGCGGCCUAUCAGCUUGUUGGUGGGGUAAUGGCCUACCAAGGCGACGACGGGUAGCCGGCCUGAGAGGGUGACCGGCCACACUGGGACUGAGAUACGGCCCAGACUCCUACGGGAGGCAGCAGUGGGGAAUAUUGCACAAUGGGCGCAAGCCUGAUGCAGCGACGCCGCGUGAGGGAUGACGGCCUUCGGGUUGUAAACCUCUUUCAAUAGGGACGAAGCGCAAGUGACGGUACCUAUAGAAGAAGGACCGGCCAACUACGUGCCAGCAGCCGCGGUAAUACGUAGGGUCCGAGCGUUGUCCGGAAUUACUGGGCGUAAAGAGCUCGUAGGUGGUUUGUCGCGUUGUUCGUGAAAACUCACAGCUUAACUGUGGGCGUGCGGGCGAUACGGGCAGACUAGAGUACUGCAGGGGAGACUGGAAUUCCUGGUGUAGCGGUGGAAUGCGCAGAUAUCAGGAGGAACACCGGUGGCGAAGGCGGGUCUCUGGGCAGUAACUGACGCUGAGGAGCGAAAGCGUGGGGAGCGAACAGGAUUAGAUACCCUGGUAGUCCACGCCGUAAACGGUGGGUACUAGGUGUGGGUUUCCUUCCUUGGGAUCCGUGCCGUAGCUAACGCAUUAAGUACCCCGCCUGGGGAGUACGGCCGCAAGGCUAAAACUCAAAGGAAUUGACGGGGGCCCGCACAAGCGGCGGAGCAUGUGGAUUAAUUCGAUGCAACGCGAAGAACCUUACCUGGGUUUGACAUGCACAGGACGCCAGUAGAGAUAUUGGUUCCCUUGUGGCCUGUGUGCAGGUGGUGCAUGGCUGUCGUCAGCUCGUGUCGUGAGAUGUUGGGUUAAGUCCCGCAACGAGCGCAACCCUUGUCUCAUGUUGCCAGCACGUUAUGGUGGGGACUCGUGAGAGACUGCCGGGGUCAACUCGGAGGAAGGUGGGGAUGACGUCAAGUCAUCAUGCCCCUUAUGUCCAGGGCUUCACACAUGCUACAAUGGCCGGUACAAAGGGCUGCGAUGCCGUGAGGUGGAGCGAAUCCUUUCAAAGCCGGUCUCAGUUCGGAUCGGGGUCUGCAACUCGACCCCGUGAAGUCGGAGUCGCUAGUAAUCGCAGAUCAGCAACGCUGCGGUGAAUACGUUCCCGGGCCUUGUACACACCGCCCGUCACGUCAUGAAAGUCGGUAACACCCGAAGCCGGUGGCCUAACCCUUGUGGAGGGAGCCGUCGAAGGUGGGAUCGGCGAUUGGGACGAAGUCGUAACAAG